UACGUAGGACCCAAGCGUUAUCCGGAAUUACUGGGCGUAAAGAGUUGUGUAGGCGGCUUAUUAAGCAAGGUGUGAAAUCGUAUGGCUCAACCAUAUACACAUACUUUGAACUGAUGAGCUAGAGGGCGAGAGAGGUUAUUGGAAUUUCUAGUGUAGGAGUGAAAUCCGUAGAUAUUAGAAGGAACACCGAUGGCGUAGGCAGAUAACUGGCUCGCACCUGACGCUCAGACACGAAAGCGUGGGUAGCAAACGGGAUUAGAUACCCCGGUAGUCCACGCCGUAAACUAUGGAUGCUAGCUGUUAGUCGUAUCGACCCGAUUAGUAGCGAAGCUAACGCGUUAAGCAUCCCGCCUGUGGAGUACGAGCGCAAGCUUAAAACAUACAGGAAUUGACGGGGACCCGCACAAGCGGUGGAGCGUGUUGUUUAAUUCGAUGGUAAGCGAAGAACCUUACCCAGACUUGACAUCCUUGGAAGGACUACGAAAGUAGACUGUGCCUUUUGGAAUCAAGUGACAGGUGUUGCAUGGCCGUCGUCAGCUCGUGUCGUGAGAUGUUUGGUUAAGUCCAUCAACGAGCGCAACCCUUAUAGUUAGUUGUAUUUUUCUAGCUAGACUGCCCUGGCAACAGGGAGGAAGGAGGGGAUGAUGUCAGGUCAGUAUUACCCUUAUGUCUGGGGCUACAAACACGCUACAAUGGCCGGUACAAAGGGAAGCCAACCCGCGAGGGGGAGCAAAUCCCAUCAAAGCCGGUCUCAGUUCGGAUUGCAGGCUGAAACUCGCCUGCAUGAAGCUGGAAUCGCUAGUAACGGUAAGUCAGCACAUUACCGUGAAUACGUUCCCGGGUC
Molecule: ribosomal RNA, 844 nt
Filed under: uncultured bacterium
Lineage: Bacteria
Description: bacterial SSU rRNA
Rfam family: Bacterial small subunit ribosomal RNA
Source: RNAcentral